RNAcentral lists this ribosomal RNA (445 nucleotides) under uncultured bacterium. Its description in RNAcentral is "partial 16S ribosomal RNA". It matches the Rfam family "Bacterial small subunit ribosomal RNA", at positions 331 to 792 of the family's 1533-position model. The record is from RNAcentral.
CCAGACUCCUACGGGAGGCAGCAGUGGGGGAUAUUGCACAAUGGGGGAAACCCUGAUGCAGCGACGCCGCGUGUGGGAAGACGGUCCUCUGGAUUGUAAACCACUGUCCCCAGGGACGAAGAUGACGGUACCUGGGGAGGAAGCACCGGCUAACUCCGUGCCAGCAGCCGCGGUAAUACGGAGGGUGCAAGCGUUGUCCGGAAUCAUUGGGCGUAAAGAGUUCGUAGGUGGCAUAUUAAGUCUGGUGUUAAAUGCAGAAGCUCAACUUCUGUUCGGCACUGGAUACUGGUAAGCUUGAAUGCGGUAGAGGUAAAGGGAAUUCCUGGUGUAGCGGUGAAAUGCGUAGAUAUCAGGAGGAACAUCGGUGGCGUAAGCGCUUUACUGGGCCGUAAUUGACACUGAGGAACGAAAGCCGGGGUAGCAAAUGGGAUUAGAUACCCUGGUA